CACUGAUCCACCACUCCUGAACUUCCCUUUCUGCAGAUGGGGACCAGGGACUUGAACCUGGGUCCUUAAGUAUGGUAACGUGCACUCUAUCAGAGAGACAGAAAGAGGUGUGAAGGAGACCACAGCACUGAAGCUUCCUUUAGAGAGGUGGAGACCAGAUAGAGCAGUGCACUAUCCAAGUGAGAGUCAACCCCAACUUUGCCUAAAAAAGGAAGAGGCUCCACUGGCCUUGGAGCCUGCUGGCUGAGCCGGAGGAACAGUCGAGAACUGUGUCGCAGCCAUCCCCACCCCUUCCCGGGAAUCUUGGCAGUGUGUGGUGCUGGCUGCUUUCCACCGAGCAGGCCUCCCUGCUACCGGAAUCUGCCUGGUGCUUCUACCCCAGUCCCCCAAAUCCAGGGGCCCUGUCUCCAAGAUUGGCCAGGGCUAUGCAUAAGGGCACUGUGAGUGAAGGCCUCCAGCUGGGCAGCUGCUGGAUGAGACUGGGGCCCAGGGAGUGACAUAGAGGGGCUCCCCAGGGAGACAUACAGUAUUCCACACUGGCUGGGGUCUACCCAGGCAGUGGAGCCCCUUGUGCCUGCCUGUUGCCAGCUCCGGCCCGUGAGCAGACCCUACAGUCACACCUCAGCAGAGCUGCUGGGCUGACAGUCGAGUUUCCAUCCCUUUUGGAAAAAGUAAGCAGGUCUCCUUGGCUGUGACUCAGCCCUAGAGGAAGCAACCACUCUCCUUCCUGCAGACUUUCCAGCAGGAUGGAGGCUGGACAGACAUGGGCAGCCUGGAACACACCCCUGCCACCCUCAACUCAGCCAUCUGCCCUGGCCCAGCUCAUGCCCUAUGGCUGGAAGACCAGUCCAAACCCCAGCCACCCCACUCCAUCACCUCUGUCCCCAGCCCCUGUUCUGCUCUGUGGCUCACACCACCCAGCAGCCAAGAUCAUGGCAAAUGUCACUGCUAUCCCCACCCCCAGAAGCCAACCCCCACCCCUGCUGAGAGCAAGGAGGUCAGCCAAGAAUGAAGUGGUCAGUGACGGCACAGACCAGAAGCAGACACCAAAGGAAGCAGGCAUAAUGGCCUAAAAGCCUCUGUCUGAGAGCACAAUUGUGAGGGGUUACAUGGGGGCACAGGGGCAGUGGUCAGAGGUGGCCAGGACACAGAAGGCCCUGGCAUCCAGCCUAUCCCUCCCUGGGGGCCAGGCCUAUGGGACCUGACAGAUGGAGGCCCAGGGAAGAGGCCUAGGCCCAGGCUGGGGGUCCCUUCACCUCACGGAGUUGUGGAUAGGAUGAUGUGCUCAUCAUCAGUGGUCCCCUGGACAGGUGGAGGGGUUCCUACGCCCUCAGCUGCCCCAGCUCCACCCUGCCCCCACCCUCCCUCACAGGCUCCAGCUGUGCAAAAAAGGGCCUUUUGUUCACAGCUUGCUGUGCUCAUGUUGACUUCAGGGAAAAGGGCAGCUCUGGGGCCUCUGACCCCAUUCUGGGGAAACCUCUGGGAUGGGGGAGGAGUGCCAGCUGCUUUCCAUGAUGCUGGCAUCUCACCCACGCACCUGCGUACACUGGGGACCAGGAACAAAGUGGGAGACAGUCGCCCUUGUGAUGGGGUUCAGUGAGCCCUAACCCCCUGCAAUGGUAAGUGGGGCAGAGGGAGGGGCAGAGCAGGGCCCUAGCCCAGUUGCCACCCACUCCCACUCCACAUACACAUUCCUCUCCACUUACCUAUUUGUGGUCAGGGACAAGCCAGGGCCUGAGAGCUGUUCUGGGGGCUGCAGUUCCCACUGUCAUUCCCCAGCUGCCCAGGCAUAUCUCCCUGCCCUCCCCCCAUCCCUGAGCUUCUUCUUACCCAGACUGUCGGCUAGCAACAGUCAAAAUAGUCAGGGCAUGGUGGGGUAGCGGCCUUGGGAUGGUUGGUGGUGCUUCCCCACCUCCCUAUGUGUGUGCACCCCCUCUUUGUGCUGGCUUAUGCCCUGAGUACCUAUGGGCACCAGGCAGAACCCUGUCAUCUCAGGGCUGCCAGGCUAGACAGGGCCAGGGAGUAGGGGGCUCUUCCUAUGUCAGACCAGGUGAGGAGGAGUUACAGGAAGCCCUGCCUGGAGCCUGGACUUGGGGUGGGGCACCCAGGAAGCAGGCCUGGGUGAGGGCAGGCCCUGUGAUUCUUUCUGGCUUGGUAUCAGGCACAGUGCGCAUGUGUGUGUGGGGGCAUGAUAAGGCAGUCUAGGGGGACAAGCUGGAGAGGGUGAAGAGGGCCCAUAGAUACUGAAAGAUAGCAUGGGGGGGGGGGCACUGAAGAAGGUAGAGUCUAGUGUACUUUUUCCAUUUCCUUUUCCUUUCUUUUUUGAUAGAGACAGACAGAACAUGAGAGGGAUGGAGGAGAUAUAGAAAGAGAUACAGAAACACCUGCAGGCCUGCUUCACCACUCAUAAAGCUUUCCCCCUGCGGGUGGGGACUGGGGGCUUGAACCUGCAUCCUUGUGCACUGUAAUGUGUGUGCUCUACUGGGUGCACCACCACCCAGUCCCUGCUUUUUUUUUUAUCUUUACUUAUUUAUUGGGUAGAGAUAGCCAGAUAUUGAGAGGGAAAGGGGUGAUAGAAAGGGAGAAAUACAGACACCUGCAGUGCUGCUUCACCACUCACAAUGGUCGAACCCAGGUUCUUGCAUAUUGUAACAUGUUCAACCAGUUGCACCACCACCAAGCCCCCUGUUUUUUGUUUGUUUUUAAUAUUUAGUUAUUGGGGGCCAGGCGGUGGUACAGCACUUAAGUGCACAUAGUAUGAAGCACAAGGGCUCACACAGGAUCCCGGUUCAAUCCCCCAGCUCCCCCCCCCCACAAACUGCAGGGGAAACUUUACAAUCUAUGAAGCAGGUCUGCAAGUGGCUGUCUUUCUCCCUCUCUAUCUCCUCCUCUCUUAAUUUUUCUCUGUCCUGUCCAAUAACAAAAAAAAUGACUUCCAGGAACAGUAGAUUCGUAGUGCCAGCAUCGAGCCCCGGCUAAUAACCCUGUAGGCAAAUAAAAUAAAAUAAAAAUAUUUAUUGUUUAUGAGAAAGGAGAGAGUGGUCUGGGAGGUGAUGCAGUGGAUAAUGCACUGGAUUCUCAACCAUGAGGACCUGAGUUCAAUCCCCGAUAGCACAGGUACCAGAGUGAUGUCUGGUUCUUUCUCUGUCUCUCUCUCUCCUCCUCUUCCUUGAAUAAAUAAAUUCUUAAAAAGGGGUGGGGUAGGGGGUUGUCAGGCGGUAGUGCAGUGGGUUAAGCGCACAUGGCACAAAGCACAAGGACCAGCAUAAUGAUCCCGGUUCGGGCCACCAGCUUCCCACCUGUUGGGGGGUCGCUUCAUGAGUGGUGAAGCAGGUCUGCAGGUGUCUUAUCUUCCUCUCCUCUGUCUUCCACAGAGAGGAAGACAGAGAGGAGAGAAAGAUAGACACUCUCUCCAUUUCUCUCUGUCCUAACAACAGCUAUGACAACAAUAACAACAAGUGCAACAACAAGGGCAACAAAGUGGGAAAAAUGGCCUCCAGGAGCAAUGGAUUCAUAGU
Erinaceus europaeus (western European hedgehog) is the source of this 3518-nucleotide long non-coding RNA. RefSeq lists it as uncharacterized. The record is from RefSeq and is a predicted model, not a curated record. NCBI's taxonomy places the organism in Eukaryota, Metazoa, Chordata, Mammalia, Eulipotyphla, Erinaceidae. The transcript is spliced from 3 exons.